AUGUGAGGGAGAUCUGGCUGAGACAUCUGUCACCCCAUUGAUCAUCAGGUUCAUUCAGCUGACCUAGCUGGGUAGGCAAGAAGUGAACUUCAGCAGUAACCCAU
This 104-nucleotide small RNA is filed under the name Tupaia belangeri (northern tree shrew). RNAcentral's name for it is "7SK RNA (ENSTBEG00000021071.1)". Lineage: Eukaryota; Metazoa; Chordata; Mammalia; Scandentia; Tupaiidae. The record is from RNAcentral.